GCAAUUAAAAAUACAAUCUAUUUUUACUUCAAUAGAUUUUUUGACAUCUGUAAUUACAUUAAAUAUUAAAAUCUUUCACUCCAAUGACAAAUUUGAUUAAUUUACCAAAUACAACACAGCUAUAUGAACUAUAAACUACACACCUGUAAAGAAAGAAGUGUCUUGUGUUAUGUAACACAUGUGAAUUUUAGAAUUUCUACUUUACAAAUAAUUUGAAUGCUUCCUUUCCACUGAAAGGAUGUGGUAAUCACUUUAUUAUACAUAUAAUUAAUUAUACAGCUGCAAAGUAAUUGUAAUCACCAAAUCUCAUUUCAGUAGUGUGAGAAAAAUAGUCCCAUACGUGCACCUAAACAGCAUUGGGUCUCUUUGGAGGAUCUCACAGCAUCUCAUCCAUCCACAUCGCUCAUGACGUCCACCUUAAUUGUCUGGUUGUGAAAGCUCUCAUUGCCCCAAACCGAUCAAACCGAUCGAACCGAUCAAACCGAUCAAACCGAUCAUUUGUGGCAUUUCCGGCGAUCGCCACAAAGCUAACAGCUACAAUGUAAACUAACGGUCGCGCAAAAUCUAACUGCUACUUGUGCGCAGGGAUACAGACCGCUCGGGUCAAUGUGAACAGCAACUGCACAUCACUGCUGAAUAAUGCACCCCGGGACUCACUCUCAACCAAUCAGAACGCUGGAUUUCAUCUACCCGUAUUAUACAUUGUAUUAAGGACAGAUACUCCCUUAUUUGGUUCUAACUGGCCUAUUAUUGAAUAAAAAGAGAAAAAAAUGCAUUUGAAUUAAGAUAAAACUAUUGAACAGUUCAAAAUGAAGCUUAAACAUCCCUAUUCUGAACGUUUUGAAUAUUGCACCUCUCAGUUUUCUUACAUCUACACAUUCUGCAGUAAUAAAACAAUCUUGUGGUUGUUCCUUAAUGCGCCAUGCAGCAUCUGUGGCUCAGGUUUACUGGUUAAGCUUAGAGUGGAGUUGGCUUGUUUUCCCUUGCUGGUGUUAUCAGGUCCCACGAGGAAAUGUUUCAGCAUCAGUCACUGAGCGAAUGUGUGUGUGUGUGUGUGUGACUACAAACAGCACAGUAAUCUGUAGGUGGGUCAUCAUUCUUAAUGCAGCCUGUGUCAUCAGUUCCCGUGACAACAGGGGGGAAUGAUGCGACCAAUACAUAUGAAACAGGGUGCCAUGCAUAAACAUGUGGGGGGGAUUUGCAGGAGGAGGAGGAGGGCGAGGGCAGCAUGGGGCGAGGUUAUGUGGGGGAUGUGAGAUAGCUCUACCCAUACCUGUCCUCCUUUCUAGCCCUGUUUGUCAUUCACGAGAGCGCUGUAACUAGCCCCUCCCCCCGGCAUGUGCGUGUGAUGGAUGUUGACAGCAUCAACGGAUGGAAGAUCAGGAUUAAGAUCAAACACAGCUCAGCGUCACGCUGUGUCAGGUUCACUGGACGUUUUGGGCCACACGUGAUACACACACACACACACACACACACACACACACACACACACACACACACACACACACGUAUAUAUCACAGUAAGAGGACUGUAGUAUUCUACCUCCCAUAAAUAUAAGAAACCAAAAGAAGUCCUACUGUAUACCAGUCUGAAAAUGACUCCACUUCUCUUCAUUUAUUCCGUCAGUAAACUCUGUAAACAUGAGCUCAAGCUGUAUACAAGUCUUCUUCAGUCAAGUGAACAGCUUUAGACUACACGCUACACUAGACGGCAUAAAAUCCUCCAUACUUGUCUCUGAAGAAUUAGUGCACUUUAAAUGGAGCAUGCCGACCAUUUUUAUCAUAAUGUCUUAUUUGCUGAAUUCCAGAUGUUUUCCUGCUAUUCUGUCUCUUCACCUCUGACCCUAAACACACACGUUUGUUUAUGAACACAUUGUGUGCACACCUCUCCUGUGUGUGUGUGUGUGUGUGUGUGUGUGUGUGUUAUAUUUACAGGUAAGCUGUACAGUAGAGGGACACUUGGUCUUUAUUUGUUCGGGGAGAGCACACACACCAACACACACACGCACACACACACACACACACGCACACACUCACACACACACGCACACACACACGCACACACACACUCGCCGAGGCGGCGAUACUGGGCUGCGGCCUCUUCUCUCCACACACACACACAGCAUUCCAAAGAGAGAUGUUUUUCUAUUCACUCAUUAUAGAGGGGGCGGCAGGGGUCAAGUUCAAUGCCCACAGAAAAAA
This is a long non-coding RNA of Gasterosteus aculeatus aculeatus (three-spined stickleback), 2202 nucleotides long. NCBI's taxonomy places the organism in Eukaryota, Metazoa, Chordata, Actinopteri, Perciformes, Gasterosteidae. The record is from Ensembl.